GCCUGAGUGGCUCAGUCAGUUAAGCAUCUGACUUUGGCUCAGGUUAUGAUCUCACGGUGUGUGAGUUCAAGCCCCACGUCUGGCU
This 85-nucleotide transfer RNA is filed under the name Felis catus (domestic cat). It matches the Rfam family "tRNA". From Rfam's summary of the family: Transfer RNA (tRNA) molecules are approximately 80 nucleotides in length. Their secondary structure includes four short double-helical elements and three loops (D, anti-codon, and T loops). The record is from Rfam by way of RNAcentral. Lineage: Eukaryota; Metazoa; Chordata; Mammalia; Carnivora; Felidae.